Long non-coding RNA from Leguminivora glycinivorella, 138 nucleotides. RefSeq lists it as uncharacterized. Lineage: Eukaryota; Metazoa; Arthropoda; Insecta; Lepidoptera; Tortricidae. The transcript has 3 exons. The record is from RefSeq and is a predicted model, not a curated record.
AGGCGCACACACACCCCUGCGAGUGAUCCAUAGAAACGCGUAAGCAGGCGCACACACACCCCUGCGAGUGAUCCAUAGAAACGCGUAAGCAGGCGCACACACACCCCUGCGAGUGAUCCAUAGAAACGCGUAAGCAGG